Molecule: ribosomal RNA, 508 nt
Filed under: uncultured bacterium
Lineage: Bacteria
Description: bacterial SSU rRNA
Rfam family: Bacterial small subunit ribosomal RNA
Source: RNAcentral
AGUGAACGCUGGCGGCAGGCCUAAUACAUGCAAGUCGAACGGCAGCACAGCAGAGCUUGCUCUGUGGGUGGCGAGUGGCGGACGGGUGAGGAAUACAUGGGAAUCUGCCCAGUCGUGGGGGAUAACGUAGGGAAACUUACGCUAAUACCGCAUGCGCCCUUCGGGGAAAGCCGGGGACCGUAAGGCCUGGCGCGAUUGGAUGAGCCCAUGUCGGAUUAGCUAGUUGGCGGGGUAAAGGCCCACCAAGGCGACGAUCCGUAGCUGGUCUGAGAGGAUGAUCAGCCACACUGGAACUGAGACACGGUCCAGACUCCUACGGGAGGCAGCAGUAGGGAAUAUUGGACAAUGGGCGCAAGCCUGAUCCAGCCAUGCCGCGUGAGUGAAGAAGGCCCUCGGGUUGUAAAAGCUCGUUUGUCCGGAAAGAAAAGCGCCGGGUUAAUACCCUGGUGUCCUGACGGUACCGGAAGAAUAAAGCACCGGCUAACUUCGUGCCAGCAGCCGCGGUAAU